This 1094-nucleotide unclassified non-coding RNA is filed under the name Hevea brasiliensis (rubber tree). Lineage: Eukaryota; Viridiplantae; Streptophyta; Magnoliopsida; Malpighiales; Euphorbiaceae. The record is from RNAcentral.
AUUUGAGUUUUUCUCCAAGUCCUGAAAAAGAACAAUGAUUUUCUAUGAACCCUCAAGGGAAUGAAGAAUAAAAGUACCAGCUGUUGAAAUAAUAUGGAAAGGAGACAAAUUUUCAGAUAAUUUGAAAGCAGACUACCAAAUAAAAAUCUCCUAAGCACAAAUACUACUUGAGAAAAUUUUUGACUGAUCCAAAAUAGGAUUUUUAUUUUGACAGGAAUAAAAAGCAGCAGGAUUGCUAAUUUAGGUAGAAGAAGAAUAGGGGAAAAAAGGAGAAUGAAAAGGAAAACCUUUAUAAAAAGAAGCCAAGCCAUGUGAAACAACUUCUAGAUCUCAAAAAACUGAACCUAAUUCCAAAUUCCAAAGAAAUAAUAAGAAAAAUUCACCACCCAAAGAAAUCACAAAAUCACUGAUAAAUGUUCAGGGGCUGAACUUUAAAGCAAUGUCUUAAAGGCUGGAAGCUUAAAAAUCAGAGUAAAGUACCAAAAAAAGAAAAAACCCCAUGUGAUUUACCACUUUUUUAAAUAUGGGUUUGCUUCGUGACAAGUCAGAAGCUUGUGUUUUGUUCCAUUAAACAACUAGCAGCCAAAUGCACUAUCGCUAUUAAAAUUGCUAAUGAGGCAAAGGCAAAAUAAUAAAAAAAUAUUUUAAUUUCUUGAGAAGUCAUAUUUGAUUAUUUAGAUGUUUUGAAAAAAAAUUAACAAUUUUUCAUAAAAAUAAAAAACGUAUAUUUUUUUAUCAAUUCCCCCUGCCACCUCAGCAAUUUUAACAAUGUUAAUGCAUUUGGCUGCGAAUUGCCAAUGAAGCAAGACACUGACUUCUCACCCCAAGGAAAAGAAAAAAAAACCCACACCUCCACUUGAAAAAGCAUUAAACCACAAGAUAUUUUUUGUACUUUAACCAGAGUUCCUUUUGACCCUUGCUUUGUUAGAUAAUGUUUCCAUUUUAUUUCAAAAAGAUAUCAGCAUCAACCACCUCACAAUCAACAAUUCAGUAAGCAAAUUGAAAAAAAAAGGAUCAAAUUCACGAGCAAUCGGUAAGCUUUUCUCAAAGCAACAGCUAUAGACAAGAAAAUAACCCGGAUGUACAAACACUCA